Long non-coding RNA from Penaeus monodon (black tiger shrimp), 427 nucleotides. RefSeq lists it as uncharacterized. The record is from RefSeq and is a predicted model, not a curated record. NCBI's taxonomy places the organism in Eukaryota, Metazoa, Arthropoda, Malacostraca, Decapoda, Penaeidae. The transcript has 2 exons.
CGCCAGCCGUCUCUUCCUCGACCGUGUCAGUGUGCUCUCUUCGCGCUCCUGGUCGAGGGGACUCUUUUAUACCUCGUGCAUCUACCUCUCUACCGCCUCCCGCCCUCGCUCUUGGCCUCCUGUGGGCGGCCCUGUGCAAGCCCUGGCCUCUCGGGAGGGCGUAGAGUAGGCUGCAAGAAGUGUAUUAUUGAAGGAAAAGUGAAGUAAAAAAGAUAAGAAUUCAUCCCUGCUCUAAAACCAGAAAAGAAAAAUGUGUAUGUAAAAGCUGUUGUGGCGACGAGAUUUUCAGGGAAAAUCCUGUGUAAGUUGUGUGUUUUCCUGGUCGUUGAGAGAUUUACUAAAGUGGUUGUUUGAUUAAGCCAUUUGUUGGAAAUUUGUAAUGGAAAAAGGAGCCCGUUCCUUCGAAGUGUGCUUCUGAUAACGUUCU